Molecule: long non-coding RNA, 667 nt
Organism: Lathyrus oleraceus (garden pea)
Lineage: Eukaryota; Viridiplantae; Streptophyta; Magnoliopsida; Fabales; Fabaceae
Exons: 2
Source: RefSeq, a predicted model, not a curated record
UGUUUAGGGUUCUUCUUUUCCAAUUUCAGCUCCCACUAUUACUUCUUGUUCCAAACUCGUUUUCGCAAUUACGGUUUUCGCCAUUACAGUUUCAUCAUUUCAACUUCCAAACUUGUUAAUGGCAUCUGAAUCAUUUAGCAUCUCCAACCAACUCUCCCAUUCUAGGAGAAGAAGGAUGCAAUGUUAUUGUGGUUGGAGUACUCACCACUUGUCACUAUAUGGACAUCUCAUAAUUCAGACCGCAGGUUCUAUGGUUAUGGGUUAUACAAGUUACAAGGAAGGAAAUGGUGUGCACUUUUUGACUGGUUUGAUGAGCAAAUGUUAGAACAUUCAAUGAGGUCAUUAACUCACUAUUGAAGAAAGUUAAUGAUUUGAAGAAGAAUGAUGUUUUGGUGAAGAAGAUAGACGAUACAUUGAAAAAGAAAAUCAAGUUUUAGUUAUUCAUUUGGUUUUAUCUUGGGUUCUGAUUUUCUUGUUGACCACAAAAAUUAUGGUUGGAUAAGUGUAAUGUUAACUAUCAUGAAAGUUUAUAGUGUGAUAUUGUGAUAAUGUUAAUGGAAUGAAAGUUUGUAUUGUGAAAAAUGUUAAAUUAAUAAAAGUUUAUAUUAUGAUCAAAGAAUGUCAUAUCCUGUAUUGUGAAACAAUGUUAAAUUAAUGUAAAAGUUUG